Molecule: ribosomal RNA, 465 nt
Filed under: uncultured bacterium
Lineage: Bacteria
Description: partial 16S ribosomal RNA
Rfam family: Bacterial small subunit ribosomal RNA
Source: RNAcentral
GACGAACGCUGGCGGCGUGCUUAACACAUGCAAGUCGAACGGUAAGGCCCUGCUUGCAGGGUACUCGUGUGGCGAACGGGUGUGUAACACGUGGGUGAUCUGCCCUGCACUUCGGGAUCAGCCGGGGAAACUGGGUCUAAUUCCGGAUAGGAGCCAUCUUUAGUGUGGGGGUUGGAAAGUUUUGUUCGGUGUGGGUUGAGCUCGCGGCCUUUCGGCUUGUUGGUGGGGUGUUGGCUUCCAAAGUGGGGGACGGGUGGCCGGCCUGAGAGGGUGGACGGCCACAUGGGGCCUGAGAUACGCCCCAGACUCCUACGGGGGGCAGCAGUGGGGAAUAUUGCACAAUGGGCGCAACCCUAAUGCGGCGACGCCGCGUGGUGAAUGACGGCCUUCGGGUGUAAAACUCCUUUCGCAAGGGACGAAGCUUUUGUGAACGGAACCUAAAAAAGAGGCACCGGCUAACUACUU